UUUUUCUCUCCAUUCUUCUCUUUCUUCUCUUUCCUUUUUUCUCUUGUUUUCUUCUUUCCUUUCUCCCUUUCCUCUUCUUUCCAUUUUUCUAUCCUUUCACCUCUCUCCUGUUUUUCUCUUUCCUUUUUCCUCUCAUAUUUUCCUUCCUAUUUUCUUUUUCCUUUUAUUUUCCUGCCUUCUUUUCUUUCUUUGUUCUUCUUUCCUUUGUCUCUUUCCUGUUUGCCUCUUUCCUUUCUUCUUUCCUCUUUUCUUUCCCUUAAUUCCCGUUCCUUUUGGGCUCUUUUCUUUUUUCUUUCCUUUUGCCUUUUGCCUUUUCCUUUUCUUUCUUUUCCUUUUUCUUUCCUUUUUUUCUCUGCCUUGUUUCUUUUUUGCCGCUUUCCUUUCACUUUCCUUUAUCGCUCUUUUCCUUCCUUCCUUUCAUUUUCUGUUCUCUUCCUUUUUUCUGUGGCUUUCCUUUUUCUUUCUUUUCUCUUUCCAUUCYGCCUUUCCUCUUUUCUUUCCAUUUUUCUUUUUGCUCUUUCCUUCUCUUUCCCUUUUUGCUUUCUUUUUUCCCUUGUCUUUGUUUUCUUGCCUUUCCCUUCCUUUUGCUUUUCCCUUUUUUCUUUCCUUUUUUCCUGUUCUUCUUUCUCCUUUUGUUUCUUUUUGCUUUCCUUUUUUUCUAUAUCCUUUUUUCUCUUCCCUUUUUUCUAUACUCUCUUGUCUCCUCAUUUUUUUCUCUUUCCUUUUUUUCUUUCCUUUUGUCUUUCUCAGUUCUCUCUUUCCUUCUUUCUCUCAUCUUUUCAUUCCUUUACUCUGUUUCUUUUUAUAAGGCUGCUGCCAAGGCCUUUUUUUCCCUCUUGCCUUUUCUUUCUUUCCUUGCCUUUUCUUUCUUUCUUUGUUUUUCUCCCAUUUUUUCUUGUCUUUCCUUUUCUAUCCUUUUCUUCCCUUUUUUCACUUUACUUCUCUCUCCUUUUUCUUCUCUUCCCUUUUCUCUUUGGUUCUUUCUCUUCCUUUUUUUCAUUUCCUUUCUCUUUCCAUUUUCUCUUUCCAUUUUCUCUCCUGUUUCUUUCCCCGUUUCUUUCCUUUUUAUCUCUUUUCUCUCUUUCCUUUCUCCUCUUUCCUUUUUUUCACUUUUUUUUUCUAUUUCUUUUCUUAUCUUCCCAUUUUUAUUUUCUUUCUUUUCUCUUUCCUUUUUUUUUUCUCUUUCCCGUUUUUACAGAUUAG
This 1203-nucleotide long non-coding RNA is filed under the name Apteryx haastii (Great spotted kiwi). RNAcentral's name for it is "lncRNA (ENSAHAG00000018075.1)". Lineage: Eukaryota; Metazoa; Chordata; Aves; Apterygiformes; Apterygidae. The record is from RNAcentral.